AGCGAACGCUGGCGGCAGGCUUAACACAUGCAAGUCGAGCGCCGUAGCAAUACGGAGCGGCAGACGGGUGAGUAACGCGUGGGAACGUGCCUUCUGGUUCGGAAUAACUCAGGGAAACUUUAGCUAAUACCGGAUAAGCCCUUCGGGGGAAAGAUUUAUCGCCGGAAGAUCGGCCCGCGUAAGAUUAGCUAGUUGGUGAGGUAAUGGCUCACCAAGGCUACGAUCUUUAGCUGGUCUGAGAGGAUGAUCAGCCACACUGGGACUGAGACACGGCCCAGACUCCUACGGGAGGCAGCAGUGGGGAAUAUUGGACAAUGGGCGCAAGCCUGAUCCAGCCAUGCCGCGUGAGUGAUGAAGGCCUUAGGGUUGUAAAGCUCUUUUAGCAGGGACGAUAAUGACGGUACCUGCAGAAAAAGCCCCGGCCAACUUCGUGCCAGCAGCCGCGGUAA
RNAcentral lists this ribosomal RNA (449 nucleotides) under uncultured bacterium. RNAcentral's name for it is "partial 16S ribosomal RNA". It matches the Rfam family "Bacterial small subunit ribosomal RNA", at positions 29 to 523 of the family's 1533-position model. The record is from RNAcentral.